RNAcentral lists this ribosomal RNA (172 nucleotides) under Triticum aestivum (bread wheat). RNAcentral's name for it is "rRNA LSU_rRNA_eukarya". It matches the Rfam family "Bacterial large subunit ribosomal RNA", at positions 1036 to 1202 of the family's 2925-position model. The record is from RNAcentral. Lineage: Eukaryota; Viridiplantae; Streptophyta; Magnoliopsida; Poales; Poaceae.
CAACUAAGGCCCCUAAAUGACCGCUCAGUGAUAAAGGAAGUGGGGGUGCAAAGACCUCAAGGAGGUUUGCCUAGAAGCAGCCACCCUUUAAAGAGUGCGUAAUAGCUCACUGGUCCCUAAUCGAGCGCCCUUGCGCUGAAGAUGAAUGGGGCUAAGUGAUCUGCCGAAGCUG